CUUCACCGACCCCAACCACAACGGACGAUCCUCCGAACGCCCCUGCCCGUACACCGCCAACAACGCCUGCGCCUC
Molecule: non-coding RNA, 75 nt
Organism: Streptomyces pratensis ATCC 33331
Lineage: Bacteria; Bacillati; Actinomycetota; Actinomycetes; Kitasatosporales; Streptomycetaceae
Source: Rfam